CUUUCAAUUAAAUACUUAUUUUUUAACUUCAUCCUUUCCAGUAAUUCCCUCUCAAAUUUUCUCAGGAGGGAGUGGUGUGCGUAUGGGAAAAUUUUCCCAUAAAAGUACGUUGGCAUUGAUUUUUCUUCAUAGAAAUCUAGAAACAACUACUUUUGUUCACGUUUAUUUGCAAUCAUUCAUGCAAUAUUUUUGCAACUCUUUCUCCCGUGCACUUUG
RNAcentral lists this long non-coding RNA (216 nucleotides) under Elaeis guineensis (African oil palm). Its description in RNAcentral is "long non-coding RNA (EGUI_LNC016907)". The record is from RNAcentral. Lineage: Eukaryota; Viridiplantae; Streptophyta; Magnoliopsida; Arecales; Arecaceae.